CUCCUCUGACGUUAGCGGCGGACGGGUGAGUAACACGUGGAUAACCUACCUAUAAGACUGGGAUAACUUCAGGAAACUGGGGCUAAUACCGGAUAGGAGCUCCUGCUGCAUGGUGGGGGUUGGAAAGUUUCGGCGGUUGGGGAUGGACUCGCGGCUUAUCAGCUUGUUGGUGGGUAGUGGCUUACCAAGGCUUUGACGGGUAGCCGGCCUGAGAGGGUGACCGGCCACAUUGGGACUGAGAUACGGCCCAG
RNAcentral lists this ribosomal RNA (251 nucleotides) under uncultured Actinomycetales bacterium. Its description in RNAcentral is "partial 16S ribosomal RNA". It matches the Rfam family "Bacterial small subunit ribosomal RNA", at positions 81 to 334 of the family's 1533-position model. Lineage: Bacteria; Bacillati; Actinomycetota; Actinomycetes; Actinomycetales. The record is from RNAcentral.